AGUGAACGCUGGCGGUAGGCCUAACACAUGCAAGUCGAACGGCAGCACAGUAAGAUCUUGCUCUUACGGGUUGCGGGUGGCGGACGGGUGAGGAAUACAUCGGAAUCUACUUUUUCGUGGGGGAUAACGUAGGGAAACUUACGCUAAUACCGCAUACGACCUACGGGUGAAAGCAGGGGAUCUUCGGAACUUGCUCGCUUGCAGGAGCCGAUGUUGGGUUAGCGAGUGUGCGGGGUAUAGGCCCACCAAGGCGACGAUCCGUAGCUGGUCUGAGAGGAUGAUCAGACACAGUGGAACUGAGACACGGCACAGACUCAUACGAGGGGCAGCAGGGGGGAAUAUGGGAAAAUGGGCGAAAGCCUGAUCGAGACACACCGCGUGGGUGAAGAAGGCCUGCGGGUUGUAACGCUGUUUUGUGGGGAAAGAAAAGCAGCAGGUUAAAACCCCGCUGUUCGGCCGGUACCUAACGAAUAAGCACCGCCUAAUUUCGU
Molecule: ribosomal RNA, 491 nt
Filed under: uncultured bacterium
Lineage: Bacteria
Description: partial 16S ribosomal RNA
Rfam family: Bacterial small subunit ribosomal RNA
Source: RNAcentral